GCACAGCCUACGAGUCCCAAAUAGGAUGAAACGCGCGUCCUGGAU
Molecule: non-coding RNA, 45 nt
Filed under: Schistosoma mansoni
Lineage: Eukaryota; Metazoa; Platyhelminthes; Trematoda; Strigeidida; Schistosomatidae
Source: RNAcentral